CCCGGUUCCGACGGACCGGGCGGGAGUCAUAAAACGGCUUGCCAGGGGAACAGGCUUGAAGGCCUGGCCGUAGAGGGUGCCAGCCCCGUACCUGGACGUGAGCCGUCUUCCGAUCGUGUUGUCCCAAGUAGCGCGGGCCUCGUGGAAUCCCGCGUGAAUCAGCCCAGACCGUUGGGUAAGUCUAAGCAUACCUGUCUGACCGAUAGCGUACCAGUACCGUGAGGGAAAGGUGAAAAGCACCCCGGGAGGGGAGUGAAACAGUUCCUGAAACCGUGCGCCCACAAACCGUCGGAGCCUCUUUGUGGGGUGACGGCGUGCCUAUCGAAAAAUGAGUCUGCGAGUCAGUGGCGGGUGGCGAGCAUAAGCCGUGUGGCGUAUGCGUAGCGAAAGCGAGUCUUAAAAGGCGUUUUUAGUCGCUUGUCCUGGACCCGAAGCGGGAUGAUCUAGCCCUGGGCAGGUUGAAGCGCGGGUAAGACCGCGUGGAGGACCGAACCCACCUGGGUUGAAAACCGGGGGGAUGACCUGGGGCUAGGGGUGAAAGGCCAAUCAAAUUCCGUGAUAGCUGGUUCUCUCCGAAAUGCAUUUAGGUGCAGCGUCGGUCGAUUGCGUCGCGGGGGUAGAGCUACCGGAUGCUUGCGGGCCCUUGUUGGGUACCAACAGCAGCCGAACUCCGAAUACCGUUGACGUGUAUUCCGGCAGUGAGUCGGCGGGGGAUAAGCUCCGUCGUCGAGAGGGAGACAGCCCAGACCGUCGUCUAAGGUCCCGAAGCGUGUGCUAAGUGGGAAAGGAUGUGGAGUCGCAUAGACAGCCAGGAGGUUGGCUCAGAAGCAGCCAUCCUUGAAAGAGUGCGUAACAGCUCACUGGUCUAGUGGUUCCGCGCCGACAAUGUAGCGGGGCUCAAGCACACCACCGAAGACGCGGCAGCAAUCUUCAUGGUUGCUGGGUAGGAGAGCGUCCUGCGAGGGGCGAAGCGGCGGUGGAAACCGGCCGUGGACUUCGUGGGAGUGAGAAUGCAGACAUGAGUAGCGAGAGACGGGUGAGGAUCCCGUCCGCUGGAUGACCAAGGGUUCCGGGGCCACGUUCGUCGUCCCCGGGUGAGUCGGGUCCUAAGGCGAGGCCGACAGGCGUAGUCGAAUGGAUGAACGGGUGGAUAUUCCCGUACCGACCAUGGACCGGCAAAACCGAGACGGUGAGUACUAACCUCCGCCUCGUGGUGGUUCCUUCCUUCGGGUUGGUCCCGCCGCGUGGUGUUGGGAGCGUAGCCGCAGUAGGUCAGCGCAGGGGUGACACGGAAUGGGAGCCGGCCGCGGAGGUGGUUUUCCGUGGUCAAGCACGCAGCCAGUCAUGUAGGCAAAUCCGCAUGGCGCGCAUGGCGAGGUGUGAUGAUGGGAGCCGUUAUGGUUCGAUAUCCGGUUGUCCAGGCCGUCGAGAAAAGCCUCGGCGUGAGGGCCAUGGCCGCCCGUACCCCAAACCGACACUGGUGGUCAGGUAGAGAAUACCAAGGCGAUCGAGCGAAUCCUGGUCAAGGAACUCGGCAAAUCACUCCCGUGCCUUCGGUAUAAGGGAGACCCGCUGGGGUGAACCGGCUAGCCCGGGGAGCUUUGGUGGGUGGCACAGACCAGGGGGUAGCGACUGUUUACCAAAAACACAGGUGCAUGCGAAGGCGAAAGCCGCUGUAUAUGCACUGACGCCUGCCCGGUGCCGGAAGGUUAAGAGGAUCCGUCAAUCCUUCGGGAUGAAGCGGUGAAUUCAAGCCCCGGUAAACGGCGGUGGUAACUAUAACCAUCCUAAGGUAGCGAAAUUCCUUGUCGGGUAAGUUCCGACCUGCACGAAUGGCGUAACGACUUCCCCACUGUCUCGACCAGGAGCUCGGCGAAAUUGCAGUACGAGUAAAGAUGCUCGUUAAGCGCAGAAGGACGAAAAGACCCCGGGACCUUUACUAUACCUUGGUAUUGGCGUUAGGCGCGGAUUGUGUAGCAUAGGCGGGAGGCUUCGAAGCGUGGGCGCCAGCUCAUGUGGAGCCGCAAGGUGAAAUACCGCUCUGUUCUCGUUUGACGUCUAACCUCGACAAGUCAUCCUUGUCAGGGACAGUGCCUGGCGGGUAGUUCAACUGGGGCGGUUGCCUCCCAAAGAGUAACGGAGGCGCUCAAAGGUCCGCUCAGCCCGGUUGGCAAUCGGGUGUCGAGUGUAAUCGCACAAGCGGGCUUGACUGCGAGGACGACGGUCCGAGCAGGGACGAAAGUCGGAGAUAGUGAUCCGGUGCCGGCGCACGGGCGCGGCAUCGCUCAACGGAUAAAAGGUACCCCGGGGAUAACAGGCUGAUCAUUCCCAAGAGUCCAUAUCGACGGGAUGGUUUGGCACCUCGAUGUCGGCUCGUCGCAUCCUGGGGCUGGA
RNAcentral lists this ribosomal RNA (2394 nucleotides) under human gut metagenome. RNAcentral describes it as "bacterial LSU rRNA". It matches the Rfam family "Bacterial large subunit ribosomal RNA", at positions 274 to 2557 of the family's 2925-position model. The record is from RNAcentral.